GACGAACGCUGGCGGCGUGCCUAAUACAUGCAAGUCGAGCGGACUUGAAGGAGUGCUUGCACUCCUGAGAGUUAGCGGCGGACGGGUGAGUAACACGUAGGCAACCUGCCCUCAAGACUGGGAUAACUACCGGAAACGGUAGCUAAUACCGGAUAAUUUAUUACAUAGCAUUAUGUGAUAAUGAAAGACGGAGCAAUCUGUCACUUGGGGAUGGGCCUGCGGCGCAUUAGCUAGUUGGUGGGGUAACGGCCCACCAAGGCGACGAUGCGUAGCCGACCUGAGAGGGUGAACGGCCACACUGGGACUGAGACACGGCCCAGACUCCUACGGGAGGCAGCAGUAGGGAAUCUUCCGCAAUGGGCGAAAGCCUGACGGAGCAACGCCGCGUGAGUGAUGAAGGUUUUCGGAUCGUAAAGCUCUGUUGCCAAGGAAGAACGUCUCAUAGAGUAACUGCUAUGAGGGUGACGGUACUUGAGAAGAAAGCCCCGGCUAACUACGUG
Molecule: ribosomal RNA, 500 nt
Filed under: uncultured bacterium
Lineage: Bacteria
Description: partial 16S ribosomal RNA
Rfam family: Bacterial small subunit ribosomal RNA
Source: RNAcentral